Molecule: ribosomal RNA, 253 nt
Filed under: uncultured bacterium
Lineage: Bacteria
Description: partial 16S ribosomal RNA
Rfam family: Bacterial small subunit ribosomal RNA
Source: RNAcentral
UACAGAGGUCUCGAGCGUUAGGCGGAAUCACUGGGCUUAAAGCGUGUGUAGGCGGAUCGUUAAGUGUCUUGUGAAAUCCCACGGCUCACCCGUGGAACUGCUGGGCAUACUGGCGAUCUUGGGCCAACUAGGGGCAACUGGAACAAGCGGUGGAGCGGUGAAAUGCGUAGAUAUCGCUUGGAACGCCAACGGUGAAAACAGGUUGCUGGGGUUGUGCCGACGCUGAGACACGAAAGCCAGGGGAGCAAACGGG